This 2447-nucleotide long non-coding RNA is filed under the name Chrysemys picta bellii (western painted turtle). Its description in RNAcentral is "lncRNA (ENSCPBG00000020272.1)". The record is from RNAcentral. Lineage: Eukaryota; Metazoa; Chordata; Testudines; Emydidae.
UGCAACACACACUAAACCCCUGAGCUCAGCCCAAACGGAGACUCCUUGGAGCCCAGAAGUAGCUGCUCGGAGCGCUCCUGGGUCCGUACUGCCAGCCCCGUAGCCCGUCGUCUCCCGAACCAGACACUGCCUCUCACGGGGGCGGAGGGAAUCCCUCCGCCUGCCUGACCCACAAAGCCUGGGAGAUGGAAUCCCUGCGGUUUGCUUGUCUCUGUGAACUGUGCGACUGUGGGUAAGUGAGCGCUCGAACAGGCACAGAGACACACGCCCUUAUUUAUUUUUGCUGAAGGCUUCUAGAGCAAGACUGGAUUCGUUUCGCCUUUCCCCCCCCUGCACACACCAGACCUGAUCUUAAGCAAAAGCUGCUGGCACUGAGUUGGGCAGGCGGGCUAAAAGCCAUGGGCAGCGGAGAAGGACAGCCGGCUGCUUUAUUUCUCUCGCUCUAGGUCUCUUUCUCUCUGCGUUAGUAUGGAGCCAUUUUAGAAAGAGCUAUCAUCACUUGUACUGCUGUGGAAACCUAGAGGCAUGAGAAAGUCUCUGCCCCACAGAUCCUCCACGUGCGUGUCCAUGGAUAUAUUCUGUAGUGUUUACCCACAUCCCUGGGGACUUACAGUUUUUAACCACCUCUUUACAGAACAUGACAGGGGCCUGCAGCCGUGCCCUGAGCCAUGUUGCUAGCGGGAGUUGGGUAAUAGCAGGCGGGGGGGGGGUCAUUUCACAGUAUUUGGUAGCAUCCCGCUCCUAGCUCCACCACAGGAGAGAUCUCUUCCUCCUACCAAUUGCAUCAGUCUCCCCAGAAGCUCUGAGAGACGCCGAGUAGAGGGCAGCAAUUCUCAGGGGCCCAUCAUCCGACUGCCCAGCACCCAGCUCCCAGCGAGCAGACCCGGCCGCCUUGGCGGUCACCUCCCCUGGCUCUGAUGGCUCCCCUGAGGCAGGCAGGCUGGAUGUGGAGAAAGUUCCCAGAGGGGAGGGGAGCCCGGUUUCGGUUUCUCUCUCUCAGCUGCUUCUCUGUCACGCUCAGUCGACACAAGCGCCACAAGAACUGCAAGAAGCGGAGCAGGCCAGCGCCUCAGGACUGCAGGAGGCCCCAGCUGUCCCAUUACAAGGCAACUUACACCCAGCCACCAAACGUGCAUCCUCGAAGCAGCAAGAGGCCGCUCCGCACCCCUCCACACCCCAACCCCCCGGCCAUGGCCUUCAGCACCACGCAGCGGGCAGAGUUCAUUCCCUGGGAGCUGGGCCAGAGGACCAAGCCGCCUGUCCAGGAGGCGUAUCAGUGCCCACAGGAGCCCUUCCAAAGCCAGAGUCUGUACCGCCUCCACUUCCCGCCCAGGGAGCCGGUCGUGACCACCCUCCGGCAGCCCCCGACUCCCAGGCAGCCUGACGGCUCCGGCUUCCCCCACACCACCACCACCAAGGAGAGCUACAAAGGAUGGCGAGCGGAACACCCAGCCUGCUAUGGAGAGCCACCAGCCCUGGCAGGCGCUCUCCUGUCCCCUGACCGGGCAGCCGAGAUGGAAAGCACCACGCAGCGAGAGUUCACUGAGAAACGCAUCCCCAAACCGGAGCUGGUCAAAGGCCUCCAGGCUCAGCUCACCAUUGAAGGUGAUCAUGACAUGACGACAACCCACCAGAGCACCUACCAGUCUGUGCCCUUGGAGAAGCGGGUAGCCCAGUCACGCGGUAAAGGAGUAGUGCCAGCAGGGAAACGAGCCCAGGUGGAAUACAUGACCAAGUACCAGAGCGAUUUCCCAGCAUGCAGCUUGUUACCUGCACGGAUUCAGCCUGCUCAGCCUCCUCUGGACAACCUGGCAAUCAACCAGGGCUUCAGCACAGAUUUUCAGACGGUGCAGAGGGAAAGCUACCAUGGCUGGGACACCCGCAGAUACCCUCGUGCCUGCCCCAUCAAGCUGAAAGAGGAGCUGGCAGACUUGGGGAAAGAGAGGGAUGGAAAAUUCAGUGGAGACACUGUGACCAAGCUCUCUUACCCUCCUCUGCCCUUGGACAGGCCUCCGGGGACUAUCCAGUGGCCCCCCACAGUGCUGAGAUCCCUCCCUGCAAAGUUUGAUGAUUCCACAGCCCACAAGUUCUUCUUCAGAGAGUGGAGAGUCCAGCCCCGAAUCCGGCAAGGUGACCCCCACGAUGGAGUCUACAUCCGACCUCUGGUAAUACGAUGGGGGCAGGAGACCACUCCUGCUAACUGGCUGGCACCCUCACACAACACAGACGGUCCUGUGAAAGUGGAAUGCAUCCAAGAGCCUCAGCACAGCCUUGUACACCAGACAAAUUCCACAGGGUACCACAAAGACAGAGGCCACUGUCCCAUGAAUGAUGAUGUGCUUGAGAGAACAGUAGCCAACUCCUAUUUCAGUCAGGGUCGUACCAUGACAGGUGCUGCAUGGACUCCCCAGGCAUGCAGUCCCUGCCCUGCAGAGUUUAUUAUCUGA